Molecule: ribosomal RNA, 291 nt
Filed under: uncultured bacterium
Lineage: Bacteria
Description: partial 16S ribosomal RNA
Rfam family: Bacterial small subunit ribosomal RNA
Source: RNAcentral
GGAUUAGAUACCCUGGUAGUCCACGCUGUAAACGAUGUCGAUUUGGGGGUUGAACUUUAAGUUUGGCGCCCGUAGCUAACGUGAUAAAUCGACCGCCUGGGGAGUACGGCCGCAAGGUUAAAACUCAAAUGAAUUGACGGGGGCCCGCACAAGCGGUGGAGCAUGUGGUUUAAUUCGAUGCAACGCGAAGAACCUUACCUACUCUUGACAUCCAGAGAACUUUCCAGAGAUGGAUUGGUGCCUUCGGGAACUCUGAGACAGGUGCUGCAUGGCUGUCGUCAGCUCGUGCCG